RNAcentral lists this ribosomal RNA (482 nucleotides) under uncultured bacterium. RNAcentral describes it as "partial 16S ribosomal RNA". It matches the Rfam family "Bacterial small subunit ribosomal RNA", at positions 30 to 507 of the family's 1533-position model. The record is from RNAcentral.
AUUGAACGCUGGCGGCAUGCCUUACACAUGCAAGUCGAACGGUAACGGGCCUUCGGGUGCCGACGAGUGGAGAACGGGGGAGUAAUACAUCGGAACGUGCCCGAUCGUGGGGGAUAACGAGGCGAAAGCUUUGCUAAUACCGCAUACGAUCUACGGAUGAAAGCAGGGGAACGCAAGGCCUUGCGCGGACGGAGCGGACGAUGGCAGAUUAGGAAGUUGGUGGGAGAAAAGCUUACCAAUCGGACGAUCUGUAGCUGGUCUGAGAGGAUGAUCAGCCACACUGGGACUGAGACACGGCCCAGACUCCUACGGGAGGCAGCAGUGGGGAAUUUUGGACAAUGGGCGCAAGCCUGAUCCAGCCAUGCCGCGUGCAGGAUGAAGGCCUUCGGGUUGUAAACUGCUUUUGUACGGAACGAAAAGCCUUCUUUUAAUACAGGAGGGUCAUGACGGUACCGUAAGAAUAAGCACCGGCUAACUACGUG